CCCCUGGCCUUUCCUCCUGGGCCCACCUGCAGCGCAGCCCCCACCUCCCCCUGUGCAGCCCGAGCCCUUGGUGCAGUCCUCCCCACAGCAAAGGCCAUCUUCCGGAGAGGGAGCCUGAUUCGUGGCAGCAGCAGUGCUCACAGCGCCACAGCUCACGUUCGAUGCAUCUGACACUGUCCUCAGGCUCUGCCUGCUCUGCCUGCUCUGCCCACUGAUCCCUCUCGAAAGGAAAACACUGUCAUGAUUUUAGAGGAUGGCUGCCCCAGCUCCAGCCUCAUGUCCAUAUGCCACGCAGAAAGAUGAAGACAAAGAGAAGGAAGAUGCUCUGUUAUGAACGCAAAGAAUUUCCAGAAAUCCCUGACAGACCUUCCACAUAACCCAGAGCCAUGUCACCUGGCCACCCCUUAAUGCAAAGGGCUCUGGAAAGCGAAAAUCAUUGUCUAGUGGGAUUAUGGUCCUCACACCACGCUCUGUAUCCAACACGCACAUGAAAGGGUAUGCAUGCAGAAUUAAAGAGUGGGCAUGGCAAGGGAAUGGACUUUCCAGAACUGCAGGACCCUGGAGGCAAAGAUGGAGUUCAGGGAAGCCCAGGCACCAGCUCCACUGUCUCUUGGAGGUGACCUUGCUGAAGCUGGUUUGAAGAAACAGGAGAGCCCGCUGACAUCGCUAAGUCGCCUCUUCUCGACAAAAGCCAUUGAUCCCAAGCAAGCUCUUCCCGAAUAAGCCCAGAGGAUGGAGGCUCAAGGGCACAGCAAAGUUUGUGGACAGCGUUGGUUGGACCCUUCGCAAAUCCAGGGGGGUGUCCAGGGCUGUUCCCUGAGGAGGGUGCAUCUGCUUCCACCCUGGGGGGUGGGGCACCCUACUUCCCAUAAGCUUCCGUACCUUUGAUUAAAUAGCCAGAGGACUGAAUCUCAUUUAAUGAUGAGGGUUAUGUGUGAUCUCUUCCUACUAGAUGUUAAUCCAGCUGACACACAGGUGGCGUCAGACAUGAAACCGGCCCGACUGUGACAGCCACACAGGGGCCUGUGGCCAGGACAGGGACUGACCGGCCCAUGGCAUGAGGCUGGCUUGGCUGAAGGACUUGCACCAGUGAAUGUAUCUGGUUUCCCUGCAAGGCACCUUCAUGCUCAGUGAGUAAGAAAUCUGAGCUGAGGGUAGGGUAGCCUGCAGGUUAGGGGAACCCAUAAGCCUAUGAUAUGGGGACAGUUCAGGGGCCCAAAGGGGUCAAAUAGGUAAGGAAGUUCAGGUAUUCUUGCCAAAACAAAACAAAACAAACAACAACAGAGCCUGACUCCCAUCAAGCCUCUGCACUAACUUUUUUUACACUAGGAUAGACCUGUCCAGAUUCAGAUGGUGAGGACUUUGGACCUCAGUUUGAACGAAUCAGCGGUAAAAACCCAUUAUCCAGACAAGGGCAUAAAUGUGAACCUAGACUGGGUGCUGAUUGUGGUGGUUUAUACUGUGUCACCUGGGCUGAGCCGGAGCUAGAUUCCCCCAAGUGCCUUUCCUGGGGCAGUUCUGGGUGAGAGGAUGCCCAAAGUGGAAUUCUCACGAGACCUGGGAGGCAAGGCAAACGGCCACGACUCUCCCAAAAUUGUCAUGAUUCCUUG
Manis pentadactyla (Chinese pangolin) is the source of this 1610-nucleotide long non-coding RNA. RefSeq lists it as uncharacterized. The record is from RefSeq and is a predicted model, not a curated record. The transcript has 3 exons. Lineage: Eukaryota; Metazoa; Chordata; Mammalia; Pholidota; Manidae.